UAAGGAAUAUUGGUCAAUGGACGCAAGUCUGAACCAGCCAUGCCGCGUGAAGGAUUAAGGCCCUCUGGGUUGUAAACUUCUUUUAUAGGGGAAGAAAUGUGACGGUUCUCCGUCACUUGACGGUACCCUGGGAAUAAGCACCGGCUAACUCCGUGCCAGCAGCCGCGGUAAUACGGAGGGUGCAGGCGUUAUCCGGAUUCACUGGGUUUAAAGGGUGCGUAGGUGGGCAGAUAAGUCAGUGGUGAAAUCUUCCGGCUUAACCGGGAAACUGCCGUUGAUACUAUUUGUCUUGAAUAUUGCGGAGGUAAGCGGAAUAUGUCAUGUAGCGGUGAAAUGCUUAGAUAUGACAUAGAACACCGAUUGCGAAGGCAGCUUACUACACAAUCAUUGACACUGAGGCACGAAAGCGUGGGUAGCGAACA
RNAcentral lists this ribosomal RNA (422 nucleotides) under uncultured bacterium. RNAcentral's name for it is "bacterial SSU rRNA". It matches the Rfam family "Bacterial small subunit ribosomal RNA", at positions 355 to 774 of the family's 1533-position model. The record is from RNAcentral.